UUUUGGAAAUUAUCGGACAUU
This 21-nucleotide non-coding RNA is filed under the name Caenorhabditis elegans. Lineage: Eukaryota; Metazoa; Nematoda; Chromadorea; Rhabditida; Rhabditidae. The record is from RNAcentral.